RNAcentral lists this ribosomal RNA (376 nucleotides) under uncultured bacterium. RNAcentral describes it as "bacterial SSU rRNA". It matches the Rfam family "Bacterial small subunit ribosomal RNA", at positions 524 to 898 of the family's 1533-position model. The record is from RNAcentral.
UACAGAGGCCUCGAGCGUUAGGCGGAAUCACUGGGCUUAAAGCGUGUGUAGGCGGAUUGGUAAGUACCUUGUGAAAUCCCACAGCUUAACUGUGGAACUGCUCGGUAUACUGCUGAUCUUGAGCCACUCAGGGGCUACCGGAACAAAUGGUGGAGCGGUGAAAUGCGUAGAUAUCAUUUGGAACGCCAAUGGUGAAAACAGGUAGCUGGGGGUGUGCUGACGCUGAGACACGAAAGCCAGGGGAGCAAACGGGAUUAGAUACCCCGGUAGUCCUGGCCGUAAACGAUGUCGACUAGAUCGUGGUGCCUCUGACGGUGUCACGGUCGUAGCAAAAGUGCUAAGUCGACCGCCUGGGAAGUACGGUCGCAAGGCUAAA